Molecule: unclassified non-coding RNA, 253 nt
Filed under: uncultured Alphaproteobacteria bacterium
Lineage: Bacteria; Pseudomonadati; Pseudomonadota; Alphaproteobacteria
Description: contains 16S-23S intergenic spacer region
Rfam family: Bacterial small subunit ribosomal RNA
Source: RNAcentral
UACGAAGGGGGCUAGCGUUGUUCGGAAUUACUGGGCGUAAAGCGCACGUAGGCGGAUCGAUCAGUCAGGGGUGAAAUCCCAGGGCUCAACCCUGGAACUGCCCUUGAUACUGUCGAUCUGGAGUAUGGAAGAGGUGAGUGGAAUUCCGAGUGUAGAGGUGAAAUUCGUAGAUAUUCGGAGGAACACCAGUGGCGAAGGCGGCUCACUGGUCCAUUACUGACGCUGAGGUGCGAAAGCGUGGGGAGCAAACAGG